RNAcentral lists this long non-coding RNA (1139 nucleotides) under Numida meleagris (helmeted guineafowl). Its description in RNAcentral is "lncRNA (ENSNMEG00000020141.1)". The record is from RNAcentral. Lineage: Eukaryota; Metazoa; Chordata; Aves; Galliformes; Numididae.
GUCUUCCAUUGUAGAAGGACUGACAGGUCUAAUUGUCAUUUCUGCUUCAGAAAUUUUUAAAAUGCAGUAUGUGAAAACAUGCUGACCCUUGGGAAAUAAGUGGGGCUGUUAAAAAUAAAUAGGUUCCAGCUUUUCAGGAAGAACAGAUUCACUACAGUGACGUAAAAACACCCAGCAGCUUGUCCCAGCCAUUUCCCAUGAGACACUGCUGAUUUAGGAAGAAACAGCAGCUCACACAGCUGCCUAGAAAUUUAAAUGCCAGGAUGUUACUUUUUGAAUCUCUUAUUUUUAAACACUGCUCACCUUUGACACAGUGACAGUAUUUGCACAAUCCCUUUAUAUCCUCAGAAACACCCUUUGAAGACUUUAAAAAAUUUUAAAAAAUAAAUUAACCUUAGUGGAGCAUCCUAAUAUGUCUUGAAAUAAACUGAGAUACUAGUAGUCUUAGGAAUAUCUUCUUAUUGUUGAAAAAGUUAUUUCAUAAAUAUUUCAUAUUAUUUGUUUUACAGUUUUUAAUUUUCUAUUGGAAGUCAUAGUGAGUCCCAAGCAUGUCUUAGCUGUUGUACCUGCAUACGUGCCUGCAAAGGACCAGUGUUGUAUUAUGACACAUUGGUGCACAGGGGUGCAGCAUGCAGUCAGCUUGAACCAAGGUAGAGAUGCAUGAAGCAAGUGCUGAAACAAAUUUAUCUGUGAAUGGAGUUACUGACUGGCAGCCACUUCUACUAGUUACAGCAGACCACUUCUCUGAUAGUACAGCUGCAGAAGUGUUACACAAAAUCAGUGUCCAUUUGAUAUGCAAAAUGAAGAGAUACAUUUAUGAUUAAAGAAGAACUACUCCUUUACAUCAGACCCUUUCACUUCAGAAGGAAAGCAAGUAAAAUUUCAGUAAGUAGCUAUGAAGUAACUUCUUAACUGAAUGAUCCAUUUAUUUACUUAUUUGGGCUCCAUUUAGCUUUUGGCUCAUAUCCUGCUGCAUGAAUGUUUACAUCCCAUACAAAUCACUCACAGCUUUCAAAUGCUUAUCUUUUUAAAACUCAACAGGAGAAAGAUGCAUGUAUAUUUAAAUUUAUUUCAAGGUUAAGUUAGGAAUGAAAGAUUAACAUAUAGUAAAGAAUAAAAGCCUGUUAAAUGUUAUUUCA